RNAcentral lists this long non-coding RNA (542 nucleotides) under Salmo salar (Atlantic salmon). Its description in RNAcentral is "lncRNA (ENSSSAG00000120007.1)". Lineage: Eukaryota; Metazoa; Chordata; Actinopteri; Salmoniformes; Salmonidae. The record is from RNAcentral.
GUUGGGGUGUGUUGAGGGACCAGACAGCCCCUGGUUGGGGAGUGUUGAGGGACCAGACAGCCCCUGGUUGGGGAGUGUUGAGGGACCAGACAGCCCCAGGUUGGGAUGGGGAGUGCUGAGGGACCAGACAGCCCCAGGUUGGGAUGGGAGUGUUGAGGGACCAGACAGCCCCAGGUUGGGGUGGGGAGUGUUGAGGGACCAGACAGUCCCUGGUUGGCAUGGGGAGUGUUGAGGGACCAGACAGACCCAGGUUGGGAUGGGGAGUGUUGAGGGACGAGACAGCCCCUGGUUGGGGUGGGGAGUGUUGAGGGACCAGACAGCCCCUGGUUGGGGAGUGUUGAGGGACAAGACAGUCCCUGGUUGGGGCGGGGAGUGUUGAGGGACCAGACAGCCCCUGGUUGGGGAGUGUUGAGGGACCAGACAGCCCCUGGUUGGGGAGUGUUGAGGGACCAGACAACCCUGGGGGCAGUGGUGGUUUCUAAGGUUGUGGUCUCAUCUGUGGUCCUCCUAUCCUCUCCACCUCAUGUCCUCUUCUCCUUCCA